Molecule: ribosomal RNA, 497 nt
Filed under: uncultured bacterium
Lineage: Bacteria
Description: partial 16S ribosomal RNA
Rfam family: Bacterial small subunit ribosomal RNA
Source: RNAcentral
GAUGAACGCUGGCGGCGUGCCUAAUACAUGCAAGUCGAGCGAACGGACGAGAAGCUUGCUUCUCUGAUGUUAGCGGCGGACGGGUGAGUAACACGUGGAUAACCUACCUAUAAGACUGGGAUAACUUCGGGAAACCGGAGCUAAUACCGGAUAAUAUUUUGAACCGCAUGGUUCAAAAGUGAAAGACGGUCUUGCUGUCACUUAUAGAUGGAUCCGCGCUGCAUUAGCUAGUUGGUAAGGUAACGGCUUACCAAGGCAACGAUGCAUAGCCGACCUGAGAGGGUGAUCGGCCACACUGGAACUGAGACACGGUCCAGACUCCUACGGGAGGCAGCAGUAGGGAAUCUUACGCAAAGGGCGAAAGCCUGACGGAGCAACGCCGCGUGAGUGAUGAAGGUCUUCGGAUCGUAAAACUCUGUUAUUAGGGAAGAACAUAUGUGUAAGUAACUGUGCACAUCUUGACGGUACCUAAUCAGAAAGCCACGGCUAACUACGUG